UGGGGAAUAUUGCACAAUGGGCGCAAGCCUGAUGCAGCCAUGCCGCGUGUGUGAAGAAGGCCUUCGGGUUGUAAAGCACUUUCAGCGGGGAGGAAGGGAGUAAAGUUAAUACCUUUGCUCAUUGACGUUACCCGCAGAAGAAGCACCGGCUAACUCCGUGCCAGCAGCCGCGGUAAUACGGAGGGUGCAAGCGUUAAUCGGAAUUACUGGGCGUAAAGCGCACGCAGGCGGUUUGUUAAGUCAGAUGUGAAAUCCCCGGGCUCAACCUGGGAACUGCAUCUGAUACUGGCAAGCUUGAGUCUCGUAGAGGGGGGUAGAAUUCCAGGUGUAGCGGUGAAAUGCGUAGAGAUCUGGAGUAAUACCGGUGGCGAAGGCGGCCCCCUGGACGAAGACUGACGCUCAGGUGCGAAAGCGUGGGGAGCAAACAGG
This 429-nucleotide ribosomal RNA is filed under the name Chloroflexota bacterium. RNAcentral's name for it is "Chloroflexi bacterium partial 16S ribosomal RNA". It matches the Rfam family "Bacterial small subunit ribosomal RNA", at positions 355 to 776 of the family's 1533-position model. Lineage: Bacteria; Bacillati; Chloroflexota. The record is from RNAcentral.